UACGUAGGGUGCAAGCGUUAUCCGGAAUCACUGGGCGUAAAGGGUGCGUAGGCGGGUCUUUAAGUCAGGGGUGAAAUCCUGGAGCUCAACUCCAGAACUGCCUUUGAUACUGAAGAUCUUGAGUUCGGGAGAGGUGAGUGGAACUGCGAGUGUAGAGGUGAAAUUCGUAGAUAUUCGCAAGAACACCAGUGGCGAAGGCGGCUCACUGGCCCGGUACUGACGCUGAGGUGCGAAAGCGUGGGGAGCAAACAGG
RNAcentral lists this ribosomal RNA (253 nucleotides) under uncultured bacterium. Its description in RNAcentral is "partial 16S ribosomal RNA". It matches the Rfam family "Bacterial small subunit ribosomal RNA", at positions 524 to 776 of the family's 1533-position model. The record is from RNAcentral.